Molecule: long non-coding RNA, 1050 nt
Filed under: Fragaria vesca (wild strawberry)
Lineage: Eukaryota; Viridiplantae; Streptophyta; Magnoliopsida; Rosales; Rosaceae
Description: long non-coding RNA (FVES_LNC000528)
Source: RNAcentral
CGGAGGUCGGCCGGAAAUCUCGCCGGAGGUCGGUCGGAAAUCUCGCCGGAGGUCGGCCGGAAACUUUUGUAGUAGCUUUUGUAGGCGGUGGUAGUAGCUUUUAUAGCUGGUGGUAGUAGCUUUUUUAGCUGGUAGUAGUAAUUUUUGUCAUCGUCGGAGAUCGGCCGGAAACCUCACCGGAGGUCAGUCGGAAAUCUCGCCGGAGGUCGGCCGGAAACUUCGCCGGAAACCUCUCCGGAGGUCGGCCGGAAACCUCGCCGGAGGUCCGCUGGAAAUCUCGCCAGAGAUCCGCCGGAGUCUGUUCCGAAAUGAGAAUGGUUGUUGACUUUUUAUACUAGUGGCAUUCUUGUAAAUAUAAAGGAGAAAAUCUAAUUUUUUUGUUGGAUGGCGGUCUGUAAUUAUGUUCAACUUUAAUACUUAAUACAAAACUUUAUUUAGACUUGGGUGAACUUAUGUGGGUAAAAAUGUUGGGGUGGAUCUAUGUGGGAAAAAAUGUCUCAAAGUGGACUUAUAUGUAAUUGGCCCUUGAAUCUUUGUAACAAACUCUUUUUUUUUUUAAUAAACAAACUUCUUUUUUACUUAUAUAUGGAUAAUACUUGCGUCCAGACUGAUAUUUACGUGUAUGUCUGGAAGCUCUCUUAUUUACAUACUUUUGUCAAUAUGAAUCAUAAUCUUAAUCGUUCAAACAAUGAAUUAACCAGUAAAGAUCACCAAUGAAAAAAAAUAUUGUUUGCUCAGCCGAAUGUAUCAAACAAAUGGAUGGUUGAUCAUGAGAUUGUUAACUUUCAUCACAGCUGUCUAUUUGUUUAAUGCAAUCGGUUGAGGAAACAAUUUUUUGUAUAUUGAUUUUUUGCAUAGGUGAUCUAUAUUUGUUAAUUCAACUUUGAGCGGUUAAGAUUAUGAUUUACAUUGUCAAAAGUAUGUAAACAAGAGAGAAUCUGGAUACACACGUACAUACUAGUCUGAACCCAAGUAUUUUCAUUUACAUAUAUAUAAUUUCACACUUAUAAUGUUAACCACAUGACUAUUGAGUGUCAUGGCUAAACCGAU